GAAACGACUGCUAAGACUGGAUAGGAGACAAGAAGGCAUCUUCUUGUUUUUAAAAGACCUAGCAAUAGGUAUGCUUAGGGAGGAGCUUGCGUCACAUUAGUUAGUUGGUGGGGUAAAGGCCUACCAAGACUAUGAUGUGUAGCCGGGCUGAGAGGUUGAACGGCCACAUUGGGACUGAGACACGGCCCAAACUCCUACGGGAGGCAGCAGUAGGGAAUUUUCGGCAAUGGAGGAAACUCUGACCGAGCAACGCCGCGUGAACGAUGAAGUAUUUCGGUACGUAAAGUUCUUUUAUUAGGGAAGAAUAAAUGAUGGAAAAAUCAUUCUGACGGUACCUAAUGAAUAAGCCCCGGCUAACUAUGUGCCAGCAGCCGCGGUAAUACAUAGGGGGCAAGCGUUAUCCGGAAUUAUUGGGCGUAAAGGGUGCGUAGGCGGUUAAAUAAGUUUAUGGUCUAAGUGCAAUGCUCAACAUUGUGAUGCUAUAAAAACUGUUUAGCUAGAGUAAGAUAGAGGCAAGUGGAAUUCCAUGUGUAGUGGUAAAAUGCGUAAAUAUAUGGAGGAACACCAGUAGCGAAGGCGGCUUGCUGGGUCUUUACUGACGCUGAAGCACGAAAGCGUGGGGAGCAAACAGGAUUAGAUACCCUGGUAGUCCACGCCGUAAACGAUGAGUACUAAACGUUGGGUAAAACCAGUGUUGAAGUUAACACAUUAAGUACUCCGCCUGAGUAGUACGUACGCAAGUAUGAAACUUAAAGGAAUUGACGGGACUCCGCACAAGCGGUGGAUCAUGUUGUUUAAUUCGAAGGUACCCGAAAAACCUCACCAGGUCUUGACAUGCUUCUGCAAAGCUGUAGAAACACAGUGGAGGUUAUCAGUUGCACAGGUGGUGCAUGGUUGUCGUCAGCUCGUGUCGUGAGAUGUUGGGUUAAGUCCCGCAACGAGCGCAACCCUUAUUGUUAGUUACCAGCACGUAAUGGUGGGGACUUUAGCAAGACUGCCAGUGAUAAAUUGGAGGAAGGUGGGGACGACGUCAAAUCAUCAUGCCCCUUAUGACCUGGGCUACAAACGUGAUACAAUGGCUGUUACAAAGGGUAGCUGAAGCGCAAGUUUUUGGCGAAUCUCAAAAAAACAGUCUCAGUUCGGAUUGAAGUCUGCAACUCGACUUCAUGAAGUUGGAAUCGCUAGUAAUCGCGAAUCAGCAUGUCGCGGUGAAUACGUUCUCGGGGUUUGUACACACCGCCCGUCA
This 1246-nucleotide ribosomal RNA is filed under the name 'Adenium obesum' phyllody phytoplasma. RNAcentral's name for it is "bacterial SSU rRNA". It matches the Rfam family "Bacterial small subunit ribosomal RNA", at positions 153 to 1399 of the family's 1533-position model. Lineage: Bacteria; Bacillati; Mycoplasmatota; Mollicutes; Acholeplasmatales; Acholeplasmataceae. The record is from RNAcentral.